GGAAAAGGCUGUGGUUUAGUGGUAGAACAUCUACUUUGCAUGUAGAAGGUCCAUGGUUCAAUCCCCAGCAGCUCCA
This is a non-coding RNA of Podarcis lilfordi (Lilford's wall lizard), 76 nucleotides long. NCBI's taxonomy places the organism in Eukaryota, Metazoa, Chordata, Lepidosauria, Squamata, Lacertidae. The record is from the annotation of a GenBank genome assembly.